RNAcentral lists this signal recognition particle RNA (90 nucleotides) under bovine gut metagenome. RNAcentral describes it as "Bacterial small signal recognition particle RNA". It matches the Rfam family "Bacterial small signal recognition particle RNA". From Rfam's summary of the family: The signal recognition particle (SRP) is a universally conserved ribonucleoprotein involved in the co-translational targeting of proteins to membranes. The record is from RNAcentral.
GGGUCCCGUGCGAUGAGUCGCUGUGAACCUUGUCAGGGCCGGAAGGCAGCAGCAAUAAGCAGUUGAUUUAGGUGCUGCGGGGCUGCCCCG